GACGAACGCUGGCGGCGUGCCUAAUACAUGCAAGUAGAACGCUGAAGAGAGGAGCUUGCUCUUCUUGGAUGAGUUGCGAACGGGUGAGUAACGCGUAGGUAACCUGCCUUGUAGCGGGGGAUAACUAUUGGAAACGAUAGCUAACACCGCAUAACAAUGGAUGACACAUGUCAUUUAUUUGAAAGGGGCAAUUGCUCCACUACAAGAUGGACCUGUGUUGUAUUAGCUAGUAGGUGAGGUAAUGGCUCACCUAGGCGACGAUACAUAGCCGACCUGAGAGGGUGAUCGGCCACACUGGGACUGAGACACGGCCCAGACUCCUACGGGAGGCAGCAGUAGGGAAUCUUCGGCAAUGGGGGCAACCCUGACCGAGCAACGCCGCGUGAGUGAAGAAGGUUUUCGGAUCGUAAAGCUCUGUUGUAAGUCAAGAACGGGUGUGAGAGUGGAAAGUUCACACUGUGACGGUAGCUUACCAGAAAGGGACGGCUAACUACGUG
RNAcentral lists this ribosomal RNA (497 nucleotides) under uncultured bacterium. Its description in RNAcentral is "partial 16S ribosomal RNA". It matches the Rfam family "Bacterial small subunit ribosomal RNA", at positions 28 to 507 of the family's 1533-position model. The record is from RNAcentral.